This 1002-nucleotide ribosomal RNA is filed under the name Triticum aestivum (bread wheat). RNAcentral describes it as "partial small subunit ribosomal RNA". Lineage: Eukaryota; Viridiplantae; Streptophyta; Magnoliopsida; Poales; Poaceae. The record is from RNAcentral.
AUGGGGAAAACAAAUGUCAAUCCUAUUUGGAGAAAGGUUUGGAAAUUAUCUUGUCUAGCAAAGGUGAAGAUUUUCAUAUGGCGUACCUUGCACGAAACACUCCCAUAUCGUGCCACACUUGCUAAUAGACAUAUGAAAGUUUCUCCCCUCUGCCCAUCAUGUUUGAAUGGACCAGAAGAUACAAAACACAUGUUGUUUCUUUGUCAGAAGGCGAAAGAUGUUUGGAGAAAACUGGGAUUGCAUGAGGCCAUCAGUAAAGCUUGUGUUAUUGAUCGUGAGAGCGAGGCAGUUCUUGAGUUUUUACUUCUUAUGUCAGAGGAAGAGCUAUCUACAGUAGGCACCCAUAAUGCACAUGAAUUGAUUGCUAUAACAGCCUGGUAUUUAUGGUGGAAUAGACGGAUGCUAGUUCAUGAGGGAAAGUCCCAAGAUGCAUACCAAACCUCAAUGGGAGCCCGUGCUGUAGCGGCAAAUUAUGUGAAAGCUCAUUCCUCGAGGGCGACAAUUAGAACAGGGGGAUGGGAAAGACCUCCCAUGGGUUCUGUGAAAUUGAAUGUCGAUGCUUCUUUUGAUCAGGACAUGCUUAGAGGUACAGCAGGGGCUGUUCUUAGAGAUGAUAAAGGAAGGUUCAUUAUUGGCGGGAACUGGAGGAUGGAUUGGUGUGCAGAUGUCUUAACAGCAGAAGCGUUGGCUCUAAGAUUUGGCUUAUCACUUGCACAGAAGGCGGGAUGUAAUCGUCUUGUUGUUAACUCCGACAAUAUGGAAGUAGUUGACACAAUGAAGAAUACAGAACAUUUAGCGGGAGUGGCGGCGGCAGUUUCUGAUGAUUGUUAUUUUAUGGCAUGCGAUUUUCCGCGUAUUAGUUUUGAGCAUUGUAAUAGGGAAGCGAAUAAAGUUGCUCACGAAUUUGCUAGAUUAGCUAAAUUUUUUGUGACUAGAGAUUGUUUUGAGGAACCUGUGAAUGAGAUUGUAACUUUUCUUAUUAACGAUGUACUCCCUCUGUAA